Molecule: long non-coding RNA, 836 nt
Organism: Tigriopus californicus
Lineage: Eukaryota; Metazoa; Arthropoda; Copepoda; Harpacticoida; Harpacticidae
Exons: 2
Source: RefSeq, a predicted model, not a curated record
GAGCCUCGAAAACAGGUUUUACAUAAACGGGGAAAAAACACUUCCAAGGUGUGGACGUCUUCGAUUGUCUGACCUUCGUGGAAGUAGAAGAUAUCCAAGAUUGGUCCGAUACUUUUUCCAUCCAUCAUGCAGGAUAGGCAAGCUACGUCUGUAUAUGGGUCCAAACGCUCACCGUUUGUACAAAUUAACAAAAAAUGGUCACACUCGACCCAUCAAAUGGGCAGCACAUCUAUUGGACAACAAAACGAGCGAGGGGAAGGAAUAGGGAAGAACCAGGAACUUUUUGUCCCUCGAUCCCUUUGUCUUUUGUGCUCUCAAAGAGUUCGCUCGUGAUCCAAACACACUGAACCAACCAAUACGAACAUCAGUCGAAAUGGAUCAUAAUUUUCGUUCAUCGUCCCAGAACAUGAGAUCCUCGUCAAAUGAAACUCUCUUCUACGUAUAUGUUGAGUAGUGGGUAAGUGAAGAGCCACUUUCAUUCACGCGAGGCACAAAGCAAGUAUGCCAAACCAGCGAGCCUUUUCCGUGCUCAUAUAUCAAGAAGGCCUCAAGACCAGGAGAAGGCACAUUGGAACGCCCCCAGUGAAAGAAGUACAAUCAAUAUUCUCAUCUUUUUAUGGACCAAGCCUGGGAAUGGACCUCGUAUCAUCAAUUUUGCAUCCGCAACACAGAACAAGAAGAUGAUGAAGAUCAAGUGGAGCUGGGAACUGUUCCACGUGGGGUUAUAUUUUGCCAAGACAUGUCAUUUGUAUCACUGAGCAAUUCAAUGUUGGGUUUUGAAUCUACUACGGAAAUAAUUAAGCCAAAUGCAAAAAGAGCCGGAUCGUUGUCCCGUG